Molecule: long non-coding RNA, 1608 nt
Filed under: Mus musculus (house mouse)
Lineage: Eukaryota; Metazoa; Chordata; Mammalia; Rodentia; Muridae
Description: long non-coding RNA chr5:92363903-92365511
Source: RNAcentral
GCUCAGAACCACUGCAUCUCCUGGCUUGUGGAGAUGUUGAAGAAAAAGCUUGAUGUUUUAUUGAAUAGAAUUCAGACAAUUGAAAAGAUAAGCGGGAACACACACACACACACACACACACAUAUAUAUAUAUAUAUAUAUAUAUAUAUAUAUAUGCUCUACCCAAGAUGUGGAGUGGGAGGAAUUUAAGACUGGCAACAAGCAAGCUCCUAUUCAGACAUUCGUGCUUGGUGCCGAUGACCAGGAAACAGUAAAAAAUAGUCCCAGGAUGCUGAUGGGUAUGAAUUACACUGAAAACAUCACUUACCUGGAUGGAAAAGGCAUCGUCUUCACUGGAAGAUGGGGGCUGCAGAUUGUACACCUCAGUAGGACAGAGUCCUUAGGGUACACUUUUCAUCCCAAGGAUUCGCCUUCCCUGAGAACAAGGCUGUGUUCGGCAUCCCAGUUUAAGGGUGUUGAUGUCUUGCUCAUGUCCCCAAUACCCAAGUAUGUAGGGGAACUUUGGGAAUUCUUCUUGAGAACUAGAUACAAAAGAGAGAGAGAGCGAGAGAGAGCAAGAGAGAGAGCAAGAGAGAGAGAGAGAGAGAGAGAGAGAGAGAGUCUCUGCUUUGGUCUCCAGACUUGCCCAAGCUUGAAAACAAGGUAUCAUUUUGUUGCUUUGAAAAAUUCGUAUAACGAGAGACUUCCCACACUAGAAACCAUUUUGGAAACAAGAAGACUUGCAGCGUGCCACUUGCUUCGUAGCGCUGGCCAAUGUUGGAAAUCCAGAAAAGAAAAAGGCUCUUUAUGCAUUCAGUACUAUUCUCAUGAGGCUGAUGGCUGGAGCGGAGCUGGUAAGCAGCCUCCCGGUGUCCCUGAGAACCCCUCCGGAGAAUCUAGGAAGCACGCAGCUAGAGAACAAAUCCUUGCCCCUCGAGGAAGAGCCAGCCAGCCUGUCAGUGUGUGCGAUUUGAAUGAAAAGCAGGUAAGGAAAAAAUCAUCCACAGGAAGGGAUAACAAGCCUCCAACAGGUCUUUCCAUCUUGCCUGCGAGCCCUGAAGUCCAAAAACAUCUGGUGGUCAUCACUGGCACACAUUUCUACCUUGCCCUGGCCAAAGGAGGCUUCUCUGAUGACCCAUCCCGCCUACUGUACACUACCGGUCAGUUUCGGAGCUUUCGGCCGAGGUGGCGGAAGACGACGUGGAGAAGUCUAAGGUUACUCUGAAACGCUUCUUUAAGAGUCAAGAAAUGAUAGGAGCCAUCGCCUCCAGCUUCUGGUCAUUUCUGUGCCCCUCAGCUGCCGUGUGACAGAUGACAUUAAAGAUGCCUUCAUCUCCCAGACACAGGAGCAGCAGAUAGAACUGUUGGAAUUACAGAGCCCUGGGACGUCAGAUUGCCCGGCCUGAAGCAGCACAUUUUUUAUGUUGAACUUGACAUAGGAGAAAAAAUUUUCCACAGAAUUAAAAAGAAGUUUCCUUUGCAAAUUGGAAGGGUGGCCCUGGGCAGUGAGGCUAGUCUCGUCAUUCCUGAGAAAGCUGACCGGAGACAUGGUCAAACCAGUAAGGAAGAGGAGGAGGCCCGGCUUGCCACUUCCAGAAGACUUUGAGCUCUCUGACUUUGGACGAUUAA